This 433-nucleotide ribosomal RNA is filed under the name uncultured bacterium. Its description in RNAcentral is "partial 16S ribosomal RNA". It matches the Rfam family "Bacterial small subunit ribosomal RNA", at positions 29 to 507 of the family's 1533-position model. The record is from RNAcentral.
AACGAACGCUGGCGGCAUGCCUAACACAUGCAAGUCGAACGAAGCCUUCGGGCUUAGUGGCGCACGGGUGCGUAACGCGUGGGAAUCUGCCCCUUGCUUCGGAAUAACAGUUAGAAAUGACUGCUAAUACCGGAUGAAGUCUUCGGACCAAAGAUUUAUCGGCAAGGGAUGAGCCCGCGUAGGAUUAGGUAGUUGGUGGGGUAAAGGCCUACCAAGCCGACGAUCCUUAGCUGGUCUGAGAGGAUGAUCAGCCACACUGGGACUGAGACACGGCCCAGACUCCUACGGGAGGCAGCAGUGGGGAAUAUUGGAAAAUGGACGCAAGUCUGAUCCAGCAAUGCCGCGUGAGUGAUGAAGGCCUUAGGGUUGUAAAGCUCUUUUACCAGGGAUGAUAAUGACAGUACCUGGAGAAUAAGCUCCGGCUAACUCCGUG